RNAcentral lists this ribosomal RNA (712 nucleotides) under uncultured archaeon. RNAcentral's name for it is "bacterial SSU rRNA". It matches the Rfam family "Archaeal small subunit ribosomal RNA", at positions 6 to 723 of the family's 1478-position model. The record is from RNAcentral.
GGUUGAUCCUGCCGGAGAUCACCGUUAUCAGAAUUCGACUAAGCCAUGCGAGGCGCGAGCUAUUUGGGCUCGCCGAACUGCUCAGUAACACGUAGCUAACAUGCCCUCAAGUGGAGGAUAAUCUUGGAAAUCUGAGGCUAAUACUCCAUAACCGUUAAAUGCUGGAAUGCUUUAACAGUGAAAGCUCCGGCGCUUGAGGAUUGGGCUGCGGCCUAUCAUGGCUGUUGUGAGUGUAAAGUACUCACAAACCUGUAACGGGUAGGGGUCAUGAGAGUGGGAGCCUCGAGAUGCCUUCUGAGACAUGAAGGCAGGUCCUACGGGACGCAGCAGGCGCGAAAACUUUCCAAUGGCUUAACGGCCGAGAAGGGAAUCCUGAGUGGUUAUGCUAUGCAUAACCUUUUGUUUUGCCUAAAAAGCAAGAAGAAUAAGUAGUGGGUAAGACGGGUGGCAGCCGCCGCGGUAAUACCCGCGCUACUAAUGGUGAUCACGAUUAUUGGGUCUAAAGGGUCCGUAGCCGGUCCAAAAAGUUCUUGGUGAAAUCUGCUAGCAAACUAGCAGGCGUGCUGAGAAUACUGUUGGACUUGGGAUCGGGAUAGGAUAGGGGUAUUCUUUGGGUAGGGGUUAAAUCCUUUAAUCCAUGGAAGACCUCCGGUGGCGAAGGCGCCUAUCUGGAACGAGUCCGACGGUGAGGGACGAAAGCGUGGGGAGCAAA